Molecule: RNA transcript, 3055 nt
Organism: Solanum tuberosum (potato)
Lineage: Eukaryota; Viridiplantae; Streptophyta; Magnoliopsida; Solanales; Solanaceae
Gene name: protein RIK
Exons: 12
Source: RefSeq, a predicted model, not a curated record
GGAAUUCUCAGCAUUUGGCCGUUCACCUUCGCACCAAAAUCCAAAUCCAUUACGGAUUCCGGAAACCACAAAUUCUUACAAUUUGAUGAAUCCGAAAUCUCUGUCUGCUUGAAAAUUCAAUCCUUCUUCCCUCUCCGUUGAAUCCAAAGAAGCCUUGCAGUUGCACGAACUAGAAAUUUCUUCAUCAAUGACGGAGGAUAAUUGCCCUAGAGUUUCAUCUUCUGAAACCGUAGACUCCAAUUCUUCAUCAACGAAGCAAAGGAAACGGAGAAAGUGGGAUCAGCCUGCGGAGACAUUUGUUCCAGAAGGGGUAGCAGUAUCUGGGAUUUUUCCAUUGGUAAAUACUGGUUCUCUUGCUGGUAUCACACUACCUGGCGUAAUUCCAGUCUUGGGUGCUGCUUUUACGAAUCCUCUUACCGCUAUUGGUGCUACUACAGUGCAGCAGCUUCCCGUAAUUAUUGCCCAAAAAUCAGUUCAAGUAAGAUCAUCAGAGAAGAUGUUGCUUAUUAUUUUCUUGUUUGGAAGUAUUCCCCUAUUACAUGAGCCGAAAAUUCAGGAUGAGUUGAUAGCAAGAGAAAUUGUCAUUAAUGAUGCUGAUCCGUCUGUUCGCUACAGGCUCACAAAGCGCCAAACACAGGAAGAGAUUCAGAAGAGCACGGGUGCUGUGGUUAUAACUAGGGGUAAAUACAAGCCUCCAAGCGCACCAUCCGAUGGUGAAAAACCCCUAUACCUUCAUAUUUCUGCAGGGGCACAUCUAGAAACAACACUUGAGAGGAUCAGAGCAGUUGAUCGUGCUGCUGCUGUAGUGGAGGAAAUGCUUAAGCAAAGUCCUGUUAACAAUGGAUUAAAGGUUAAUCAUCUGCUGAGUACCUGUGUGUACCUGGGCUUUGAGGCUGAUCCAUCAGCAAAUAUUACUGUGCGCAUUCGUGGACCAAAUGAUCAGUAUAUAAAUCACAUUAUGAAUGAAACUGGAGCAACUGUCUUGCUAAGAGGACGUGGUUCGGGAUAUUCAGAUGAAGGAGAGGGAGAAGAUGUGCACCAACCUCUGCAUUUACUCAUAUCAAGCAAUAACAGUGCAAGUCUUGAGCGUGCGAAGCUUUUGGCAGAAAAUCUUUUGGAUACUAUUUGUGCAGAGUGUGGUGCUUCUAGAGUCUCUUCUUGUAAGGUUUAUGGAGCUGUUCCGCCUCCACUGCAACCGUUAGCCAGCGUUCAGGUUUCUGGAAGUGAAUCAGAAGUCAAUAACAUACCCACAGCCAAUGUAGCUGCACAGAUUUUGAGCUUCUCAACAGCAGCAGCAGUUCCCGUGACUGCAGCUGCAGGUGUGACUGGUGUUGUUUCUCAGGGUACAGUACCUCAAUCUCUAGGCUCACUGAAUCCUGUGCCAUCUCAACCUCCCACCAGUUGCUAUCCUCAUCAAUUAGUUGCAAGUAGAACAAGCUAUAUUGGUUAUGAUGGUAUAUAUCCCCAAGCCACUGCUUUGCAGCAAGUUGCUUUGGCUCUUAGGCAAUCUACUUCUCCAGUCACUACCACAGUUCCUCCAGCAACAACGGGACCAAGCAUCACUUCACAGACAAGUACAGGUACUGAGAAGGACAAGCGCCCUGCACAGAAGCGUAAAUUUCAAGAAUUGCCGGCUGGUGGAAAAGGCCAAUCAACUGUAAACCAGGUAAUUUCUCUGACCUUGUAUGAAGCUAACAGGCUGUGGAACUCUGUUGGACCUUUGUAUGUUUCACAGGAUUCUGGAUACGGAGGAGGCAUGGGGUUGCUACGUGCUAUUUCAGUUUUAUGGUGCCGAUGCAAAGAUACCAUGCCCCUUCUGGUUUUGGCAUUCUGUCAAAUGUUAAUAUGCUAAUAUGUGCACUUUAUUAAUCAACUUUGCUUCAAGUACUAAAAGGGUAAUGAGAUCGAGAUCACAAUACAUUCUGCCUGUGAGGCUUUCAAACUGUUUCAACUUUACUCUAGAAGAGAAAAUGUUUUCUAUUGGUAUCUGCAAUAUAUGCAUUUUCUAAACAUGAUGAUCUAAGCUCCUUGUAGCAAGUGAUAGAAAAAAAAAGUCAAGCUGCAAAGUUGAAACAGUCCAAUUUAUUCAUGUCAACCAAUAAUUCUUAGGAUCAUGCAUUUAUUUUAAACUUCCCUUGCCUGCUACUAUACAAGUAAAAUAAUGUUAAAAGUAUGCUCUCGAAAAACUCAAAUUUUUAUCUCCUUUUUUCCUGGAAUUUCUAAGUUUUCUGGAUGGACUCUCCCUCCCCCCUUUUGGUUGCCAGAAUCCACUGCAGGGUACGGAGCUUCUAAUGCUUCAGGAACGAAUGUCAGACAAAGGUGAUAGAGACAAAAUUGGUACUCCGGCUCCCAGAAAGUUGGUUCAGCCCUUAUCCAGUUCAAUGCUGCCGCCGCCACCUCCUAGAAUGAUGCCUCCACUGCCACCGCCACCAAAGUUUCAAUCAUCCUCACAGAAAGUGCAUGACAACAAUGUGGUUAAUAAAGCACCAUGUAAAAUUGUUCCAGAUACAUUAGUCCAGCUAAUGGAAUAUGGGGAUGACGACGACGAUGAUAAUGAUGAAGCAAUUGACGGACCUUUGAAAUGUAGCUCAAGUGCGGUAGCAACUCCAAAGCCAUUCUGGGCUGUUUAAUAAUGACCACUGCACAUCUCUUUAGAUUUUGGCAACAGCUGAAUGUGCAUUAGAAGUUGAAUGGUUGUUUUCAAUUGACCUGGAAUUGGCUGUGAACUAUAUAAUAUGUACCCUUCCCCACCCCAGCAAAAAGAUGAGGGGAGCACCAAAUGGAGGAAAAGAGGAAAGGAGAGUUCUGUAGUAUUGUGCCAAGUUGAUAAUACCCGAGUGUAGGUGAUGCCCUAUGUAAAAUGACUUGUAGAGAUUCCGCAACCUUGUAUUUCCAUUAUUCUUUCCUCUAGAAAGUUGAAACCAGAAGUUGUUUGCUGCUGGCUUGUAGUUUCACUCUGAACUCUUUAUAAAACAAAGAAUGCCAGCAGUGUAACCUACUAUUUUGUUUCAGUAUCAAUAUGCAGUUAUUUGAAACUCAGGCAAUUAGCAAGCUA